RNAcentral lists this ribosomal RNA (253 nucleotides) under uncultured bacterium. RNAcentral's name for it is "partial 16S ribosomal RNA". It matches the Rfam family "Bacterial small subunit ribosomal RNA", at positions 524 to 776 of the family's 1533-position model. The record is from RNAcentral.
AACGUAGGACGCGAGCGUUAUCCGGAGUUACUGGGCGUAAAGGGCGGGCAGGCGGCCGUGCAAGAUGGGUGUGAAAUCUCCCGGCUCAACCGGGAGGGGCCACUCGUGACUGCGCGGCUGGAGGGCAGCAGAGGCGCGUGGAAUUCCGGGUGGAGUGGUGAAAUGCGUAGAGAUCCGGAGGAACACCAGAGGCGAAGGCGGCGCGCUGGGCUGCAUCUGACGCUGAACCGCGAAAGCCAGGGUAGCGAACGGG